This 254-nucleotide ribosomal RNA is filed under the name uncultured bacterium. RNAcentral's name for it is "partial 16S ribosomal RNA". It matches the Rfam family "Bacterial small subunit ribosomal RNA", at positions 524 to 776 of the family's 1533-position model. The record is from RNAcentral.
UACGAAGGGGGCUAGCGUUGUUCGGAAUCACUGGGCGUAAAGCGUAUGUAGGCGGAUCGUUAAGUCGGGGGUGAAAUCCCGAGGCUCAACCUCGGAACUGCCUUCGAUACUGGCGAUCUUCGAGUCCGGGAGAGGUGAGUGGAACUCCGAGUGUAGAGGUGAAAUUCGUAGAUAUUCGCAAGAACACCAGUGGCGAAGGCGGCUCACUGGCCCGAUACUGACGCUGAGGCACGAAAGCGUGGGGAGCAAACAGG